AUUGUUUUGUCACAACAUAUACCAAAAUUGGAAUAAUACAGAGAAAAUCAGCCUGGCCCCUUUGUAAAGAUAAUAUGCAAAUUCACAGAGUGUUCAAAAGAAAAU
Phodopus roborovskii (desert hamster) is the source of this 105-nucleotide small nuclear RNA. NCBI's taxonomy places the organism in Eukaryota, Metazoa, Chordata, Mammalia, Rodentia, Cricetidae. The record is from RefSeq and is a predicted model, not a curated record.